Molecule: non-coding RNA, 27 nt
Filed under: Homo sapiens (human)
Lineage: Eukaryota; Metazoa; Chordata; Mammalia; Primates; Hominidae
Source: RNAcentral
UGGUGCAUGCGGAGGAGGCAGACGCAA